GAUGAACGCUAGCGGCAGGCUUAAUACAUGCAAGUCGAACGGGAUUCAGGGUAGCAAUACUUUGAUGAGAGUGGCGCACGGGUGCGUAACGCGUAUGCAACCUACCUUUAACAGGGGAAUAGCCCCAAGAAAUCGGGAUUAAUACUCCGUAACAUUGCGGGAUGGCAUCAUUCUGCAAUUAAAGAUUUAUCGGUUAAAGAUGGGCAUGCGUGACAUUAGCUUGUUGGUGAGGUAACGGCUCACCAAGGCAACGAUGUCUAGGGGUCCUGAGAGGGUUAUCCCCCACACUGGUACUGAGACACGGACCAGACUCCUACGGGA
Molecule: ribosomal RNA, 321 nt
Filed under: uncultured bacterium
Lineage: Bacteria
Description: bacterial SSU rRNA
Rfam family: Bacterial small subunit ribosomal RNA
Source: RNAcentral